RNAcentral lists this ribosomal RNA (544 nucleotides) under uncultured bacterium. RNAcentral's name for it is "partial 16S ribosomal RNA". It matches the Rfam family "Bacterial small subunit ribosomal RNA", at positions 355 to 888 of the family's 1533-position model. The record is from RNAcentral.
UGGGGAAUUUUGGACAAUGGGCGAAAGCCUGAUCCAGCAAUGCCGCGUGUGUGAAGAAGGCCUUCGGGUUGUAAAGCACUUUUGUCCGGAAAGAAAUCCUUGGCUCUAAUACAGUCGGGGGAUGACGGUACCGGAAGAAUAAGCACCGGCUAACUACGUGCCAGCAGCCGCGGUAAUACGUAGGGUGCAAGCGUUAAUCGGAAUUACUGGGCGUAAAGCGUGCGCAGGCGGUUUGCUAAGACCGAUGUGAAAUCCCCGGGCUCAACCUGGGAACUGCAUUGGUGACUGGCAGGCUAGAGUAUGGCAGAGGGGGGUAGAAUUCCACGUGUAGCAGUNUAAAGUGCGUAGAGAUGUGGAGGAAUACCGAUGGCGAAGGCAGCCCCCUGGGCCAAUACUGACGCUCAUGCACGAAAAGCGUGGGGAGCAAACAGGAUUAGACUACCCUGGUAGUCCACGCCCUAAACGAUGUCAACUAGUUGUUGGGGAUUCAUUUCCUUAGUAACGUAGCUAACGCGUGAAGUUGACCGCCUGGGGAGUACGGUCG